UACGAGGGGGGCAAAUGUUGUUCGGAAUCACUGGGCGUAAAGGGUGCGUAGGCGGUUGGGUAAGUCUGUCGUGAAAUCUCCGAGCCUAACUCGGAAACUGCGUCGGAUACUAUUCAACUCGAGGAAUGGAGGGGAGACUGGAAUUCUCGGUGUAGCAGUGAAAUGCGUAGAUAUCGAGAGGAACACCAGUGGCGAAGGCGGAUCUCUGGGCCUUACCUGACGCUCAGGUGCGAAAGCUAGGGGAGCGAACAGG
RNAcentral lists this ribosomal RNA (253 nucleotides) under uncultured bacterium. Its description in RNAcentral is "partial 16S ribosomal RNA". It matches the Rfam family "Bacterial small subunit ribosomal RNA", at positions 524 to 776 of the family's 1533-position model. The record is from RNAcentral.